RNAcentral lists this ribosomal RNA (429 nucleotides) under Chloroflexota bacterium. Its description in RNAcentral is "Chloroflexi bacterium partial 16S ribosomal RNA". It matches the Rfam family "Bacterial small subunit ribosomal RNA", at positions 355 to 776 of the family's 1533-position model. Lineage: Bacteria; Bacillati; Chloroflexota. The record is from RNAcentral.
UGGGGAAUAUUGCACAAUGGGCGCAAGCCUGAUGCAGCCAUGCCGCGUGUAUGAAGAAGGCCUUCGGGUUGUAAAGUACUUUCAGUCGGGAGGAAGGUGGUAAGGUUAAUAACCUUAUCAAUUGACGUUACCGACAGAAGAAGCACCGGCUAACUCCGUGCCAGCAGCCGCGGUAAUACGGAGGGUGCAAGCGUAAAUCGGAAUUACUGGGCGUAAAGCGCACGCAGGCGGUUGAUUGAGUCAGAUGUGAAAUCCCCGGGCUUAACCCGGGAAUUGCAUCUGAUACUGGUCAGCUAGAGUCUUGUAGAGGGGGGUAGAAUUCCAUGUGUAGCGGUGAAAUGCGUAGAGAUGUGGAGGAAUACCGGUGGCGAAGGCGGCCCCCUGGACAAAGACUGACGCUCAGGUGCGAAAGCGUGGGGAGCAAACAGG